UGGAUCCAGACUUUGAUUAUGGCUCAGGAUGAACGCUAGCUACAGGCUUAACACAUGCAAGUCGAGGGGAAACGAUAUUGGAAGCUUGCUUCCGAUAGGCGUCGACCGGCGCACGGGUGAGUAACGCGUAUCCAACCUGCCCACCACUUGGGGAUAACCUUGCGAAAGUAAGACUAAUACCCAAUGAUAUCUCAAGAAGACAUCUGAAUGAGAUUAAAGAUUUAUCGGUGAUGGAUGGGGAUGCGUCUGAUUAGCUUGUUGGCGGGGUAACGGCCCACCAAGGCGACGAUCAGUAGGGGUUCUGAGAGGAAGGUCCCCCACAUUGGAACUGAGACACGGUCCAGACUCCUACGGGAGGCAGCAGUGAGGAAUAUUGGUCAAUGGGCGAGAGCCUGAACCAGCCAAGUAGCGUGCAGGAUGACGGCCCUAUGGGUUGUAAACUGCUUUUAUAAGGGAAUAAAGUGAGUCUCGUGAGGCUUUUUGCAUGUACCUUAUGAAUAAGGACCGGCUAAUUCCGUGCCAGCAGCCGCGGUAAUACGGAAGGUCCGGGCGUUAUCCGGAUUUAUUGGGUUUAAAGGGAGCGUAGGCUGGAGAUUAAGCGUGUUGUGAAAAUGUAGAUGCUCAACAUCUGCACUGCAGCGCGAACUGGUUUCCUUGAGUACGCACAAAGUGGGCGGAAUUCGUGGUGUAGCGGUGAAAAUGCUUAGAUAUCACGAAGAACUCCGAUUGCGAAGGCAGCUCACUGGAGCGCGACUGACGCUG
Molecule: ribosomal RNA, 762 nt
Filed under: uncultured Bacteroidota bacterium
Lineage: Bacteria; Pseudomonadati; Bacteroidota
Description: bacterial SSU rRNA
Rfam family: Bacterial small subunit ribosomal RNA
Source: RNAcentral